UGAGUAGCACAGAUGAUCGCGCCUAUAAGUGUCGAAAGACCAUAGGUGAGGAAAGUCCGAGCUUCAUAGGGCAGGGUGCCGGAUAACGUCCGGUGGAGGCGACUCUAAGGAUAGUGCAAUAGAAAUAUACCGCCGGCUUUUUGCCGGUAAGGGUGGAAUGGUGGGGUAAGAGCCCACCGCCUGGUUGGUAACAAACAGGGCACAUGUAAACCCCACUCGAAGCAAGACCGAAUGUAAAGCGAUACGGCGGCCCGUCGUGCUUUAGGGUAGGUCGCGGUUUGUAAAUCGUAUAUACGAUUGAGAACGAGCCAUGUGGUAACACCUGGCAAAGAUAGAUGAUCAUUUAAUACAGAACUCGGCUUAUAGUGCUGCUCAUUUA
This 379-nucleotide RNase P RNA is filed under the name Anaerocolumna cellulosilytica. RNAcentral's name for it is "Clostridiaceae bacterium SN021 Bacterial RNase P class A". It matches the Rfam family "Bacterial RNase P class A". From Rfam's summary of the family: Ribonuclease P (RNase P) is a ubiquitous endoribonuclease, found in archaea, bacteria and eukarya as well as chloroplasts and mitochondria. Its best characterised activity is the generation of mature 5'-ends of tRNAs by cleaving the 5'-leader elements of precursor-tRNAs. Cellular RNase Ps are ribonucleoproteins. The record is from Rfam by way of RNAcentral. Lineage: Bacteria; Bacillati; Bacillota; Clostridia; Lachnospirales; Lachnospiraceae.